CGGCCGCGGCAGCAAAAGGACAGGGCCCGCCGCGUGGAGGUCGGAUGAGCCUCAGGCCUGCCCUCUCGUGCUGCGGCUUCUGGGCGCCGGUGUCCCGCAGCCGCCAAUCUGCCCGUGGAGGGGCGACGGCAGGUGCGGGGACCGGACCGCCCUCCCGCCGAGGUGACGACCAAUGGGGAUCCGGGCCGGCGAGGCUGUGCCGAGACCCAGCCCGACGCGCCGCCCACUCUGGGCUGGCUCGGGAUUCGGGGCGCCGUGCGCGUGGGGCCGGCCGGGGGACAGCGCGUCUGCUCCCCGCGCCCGCAGCCUGGGAGUGCGAAGGUUGGCCUUCGAUGCUGCGGAGGCGAGCACAGCUCUACAAUUGGGAGGGCCGAAGCACAAGUUGCUUAGAGCGGUUCGGUUCAUCUAGCACGAAGUGCUUGAACUUCAGAGGACCUGCACAUGCGAGUGGGAGCCAGUCUGUGUGUCCCAAGACGCAGGUUCGGAGUGUCACUCUCCGUUUCUUCAAGACCUGUGUUUGUUUGUUUGUUUUCUCUUCUUGCCACAGGGUCUUGCUCUGUA
This 561-nucleotide long non-coding RNA is filed under the name Rattus norvegicus (Norway rat). RNAcentral describes it as "long non-coding RNA NONRATT013945". Lineage: Eukaryota; Metazoa; Chordata; Mammalia; Rodentia; Muridae. The record is from RNAcentral.